This 253-nucleotide ribosomal RNA is filed under the name uncultured bacterium. RNAcentral's name for it is "partial 16S ribosomal RNA". It matches the Rfam family "Bacterial small subunit ribosomal RNA", at positions 524 to 776 of the family's 1533-position model. The record is from RNAcentral.
UACGGGGGGGGCCAGCGUUGUUCGGAAUUAUUGGGCGUAAAGGGCGCGUAGGCGGCGUGGUAAGUCAGUUGUGAAAUCCCUCGGCUCAACCGAGGAAUUGCGUCUGAGACUGCCAUGCUUGAGUCCCGGAGAGGGUAGCGGAAUUCCCAGUGUAGCGGUGAAAUGCGUAGAUAUUGGGAGGAACACCAGUGGCGAAGGCGGCUACCUGGACGGGCACUGACGCUGAGGCGCGAAAGCGUGGGGAGCAAACAGG